This 456-nucleotide small RNA is filed under the name Histoplasma ohiense. RNAcentral describes it as "hypothetical lncRNA". The record is from RNAcentral. Lineage: Eukaryota; Fungi; Ascomycota; Eurotiomycetes; Onygenales; Ajellomycetaceae.
AUCAUUACAAGCUGUGAGUGCAGCAACUGAGUCAAAUAUCUCAGAUGAUUAUAAAGAUUAUCUUGAUGUAUUCUGAGAAGACAUAUCUGAUGCAGAACAUGCAUCUCAUGAUCAUGUCAUAGAGCUCAAACCUAGCAAGGAAUCCUCAUACCAAUCAAUAUAUAACUUAUCAUCUCAAGAACUCUCUGUCCUCUGAGAAUAUAUUGAAAAGAUGUUAGAGAAGAAUUGAAUACAUCUGUUCAAGAGCCCAGCCAGCACAUCAGUGUUAUUCAUGCUGAAGAAAGAUGGAACUCUGUGUCUUUGUGUGGAUUAUCAAGGAUUGAAUGAAAUAAUGAUCAAAAAUCGAUAUCCACUGCCCUUGAUAAGUGAAAUACUUGAUAGGUUAGCAGGUGCCAAAAUAUAUACACAACUGAAUCUUAGAGACAUGUAUCAUAGAAUUCACAUAUGAGUGAAGGA